RNAcentral lists this transfer RNA (69 nucleotides) under Bos taurus (domestic cattle). It matches the Rfam family "tRNA". From Rfam's summary of the family: Transfer RNA (tRNA) molecules are approximately 80 nucleotides in length. Their secondary structure includes four short double-helical elements and three loops (D, anti-codon, and T loops). RNAcentral also lists the same sequence under 2 other names. The record is from Rfam by way of RNAcentral. Lineage: Eukaryota; Metazoa; Chordata; Mammalia; Artiodactyla; Bovidae.
CCUGGUGGCUCAGAGGUUAAAGCAUCUGCCUGCAAUGCAGGAGACUGGGAUUCGAUUCCUGGUUCAGGA